This is a long non-coding RNA of Ictalurus punctatus (channel catfish), 12011 nucleotides long. Lineage: Eukaryota; Metazoa; Chordata; Actinopteri; Siluriformes; Ictaluridae. The record is from Ensembl.
AUAGGGCUUCAUCUCCCAGCACUGCAAAUUGGUGUUGUCUAUAAUUAUAGGGGUUAGACGUUCCUCAAAAGCUUCUUUUGCUGAAAACAAGAGUGAAAAUGUAUAUUUAACGACUACGAAGGAAAUGUAUCAGUUGCAUGUAUUUUUUAAUAUGUUUUUGACCACCAGUUAUUUUUAAAUACCUGGUGUGGUGACAGGCCUGUGGCCGACGCACAAGGAACAAAGAUCGCGACUGCCGCUGUGAUGCUGAAGAGACAGCUCUGCUUCAGCACCACCAAUGUUUUGGACAGCCGGAGAGCGCGUGGCGGGGCCGCCGACACACACACAGUGCUGAAUGGCCCGCGGCACGGAAAAAUUCCACCAUCCAGCAGCCGACGGGAGAGUAUAAAAGGGGCGAUACUCCGCUCACAAGGGAGAGGAGGCUCUCAGUGUGUAUGCGCUAAACUUUGCUGUGUGUUUUACAGACAGUCCCGACGUGAUCAAAGACUCCGCCCCCUGACUGCACCCGCGGCUUUUCCUGAUGGCAAAACGGGAUCCCCAUUACUCGGGAAACCCCCAGCACGCCCUCGGCAACCCCUCGGCGACGAAACACAUCCCCACUUCGACACACACGCACACCAAGGUUGUCGAGAGGGUGGCCGUGGACCGGUUCCUGAGGACUCUGCCACCCGCAGAACACCAGGCCGUGGGAAUGCAAGCCCCCGGGACACCCAGGGAACUACUCACUGCCCUGGAACGCACCCUGACCACCCUGGAGUUCGGCGAGGACGGAAAGCACCCAGACUGUCCAAGCCGGACUAGGGGACGCCGAAGAAGGCCCAGAAAACCUGGCUGGCAGGGCGUGUCCUCCCCACGCUGGACCCGCAGAAACCGCCCCAGCGAGUGAAGGAAGCACGAGUGCGGGAGGCCUACAUGGCCUGAGGCAAGGAGGACGUCGGGACAGAAGGUUAGCUGCACACACACACACACACACACACACACACACACACACACACACACACAUUAACCCGCACUUGUCUGUGUUCCAGCAGGUAAACCGGCAGGGGAACUUCGGCCGAGAGCAGAAAGAGGACAGCCACCUGAAGUAUUGUUGGGCCCAGGUGCACAAGAUCGAGGGGGUUGACCAGAGCCCGAACCAGAGACUCCCCUCCUCCUACUUUCUGGUCAAAGGAGGCCUUCUGUACCACCGGACCAACCGCAGAGGGGAAAACGUGGACCUCUUGGUCGUCCCCAAAGCCAGAACGCAGGCACUGAUGCACCUGGCUCAUGCCCAUCCGCUCGGGGGCCAUCCUGGAGAAGCUGAAAGACCGCUUUGUCUGGCCAGGCAUGGACGCAGAGGUCCGGGGCUUCUGCCAACAAUCACCCCAGUGCCAACGCAUGGCCCCGAGGAAGCCCCCACCGGCACCCCUCAUUCCGCUUCCCAUCAUAGGCGUCCCCUUCGAGAGGAUCGGCAUGGACCUCGUCGGGCCGCUCCCAAAAUCCGCCUGAGGUCACAAGUAUAUAUUGGUAAUCAUGGACUACGCCACCAGGUACCCCUAGGCAGUACCACUACGUAAAGCCACCUCCCGGAACAUCGCUAAUGAAAUAGUGCUCCUGUUCAGCCGUGUGGGGAUCCCAAAAGACAUUUUAACCGACUAAGGUACCCCGUUUGUGUCAAAGCUAAUGUCUGUGUCGGCUGUUGCAAGUGAAACACCUAAAGGCAUCAGUCUACCACCCACAAACAGAUGGGCUGGUCGAACGGUUCAACCGGACCUUGAAGCAGAUGUUGCGCUGCGUGAUACACGAGGAAGGGAUGAACUGGGAUCUCCUCCUACUGUACGUCCUCUUUGCCAUCCGAGAGUGCCCCCAGGCAUCCACGGGCUUCACACCCUUUGAGCUCCUCUUUGGAUGGCGACCUCAUGGACUGCUGGACGUGGCACAGGAAGCAUGGGAAGAACAGCCUUCCUCAUUCCGCUCGGUCAUCGAGUAUGUACAGGAGAUGCAGGAGAAGAUCAACCUAGUGGCCCCUUUCAUCCAAGAACAUAUGAGAGCCUCCCAGGAGGAACAGAAACGAGUGUACAACCGUCCAGCGCAAUCCCACGAGUUCCAACCUGGCGAUCGGGUAAUCCUGAUAGUACCAGCAGCUCCUGUAAAUUCCUAGCUCGGUGGCAGGGCCCAUAUACCGUCCUCGAGAAGAGAGGCCCUAUCGUGUCCUGGAGGCCCGCCAUAAGGCUAUCGAGGAGGAGGUCAGCCGGAUGCUGCGGGACAACAUCAUAGAGGAGUCCAACAGCCCCUGGUCCAGCCCUAUCAUAGUUGUACCAAACCCCAACAGAAGUAUGCACCUCUGCAACAACUUCCGGAAGCUAAACCAGAUCUCGGAGUUUGACAGCUAUCCCCUCCCCCGGGUGGACGACCUAGUGGAGCGAUUGGGGAGGGCCCGGUUAAUCUCCACCCUGGACCUAACAAAGGGAUACUGACAAGUGGCGCUGGCCCCAGAGGCGAGACCAAAGAUGGCCUUCAGCACGGCGAACGGCCACUGGCAGUACCGGGUUCUCCCCUUCGGGCUACAUGGAGCACCUGUGACGUUCCAGCAGCUGAUGGACAUUGUCCUGCAAAUUAUUGUGCCUUCGAAGCCGCCUACCUGGACGAUGUGGUCAUCGUUGUGCCUAACUUCUCCUCAAUAGCUUCCCCCCUCUCAGAUCUCACAAAGAAGGGCCAGCCGGACCGGGUGAAGUGGUCUGCAGACGCGGAGCGGGCAUUCCAAGCCCUGAAGGAAGCCCUCACCAGCACCCCUGUGCUACAUAACCCAGACGUCACCCUACCGUUCACCGUGUACACAGAUGCAUCCGAGACUGGGCUGGGCGCUGUUCUCUCACAGACCUUUGAUGGGGAGGAGCACCCGGUCCUCUACAUUAGCCGAAAGUUGUUCCCAGCUGAGAGGUGGUAUUUGGCUGUGGAGAGAGAGGCCCUAGCGAUAAAGUGGGCCAUCGAGGAGCGACGGUACUUCCUGACCCGGCGGCACUUUGUCCUGGUGACAGACCACGCCCCACUCCAACGGAUGGCCAAGGCCAAGGACAAUAACGCCCGGGUAACUCGAUGGUUCCUAUCCCUACAGGAUUUCUCUUUCCAGGUCCAGCACCGGGCAGGGACACAACAUGGGAAUGCAGAUGGCCUCUCAUGACGGGACGCCCUGUGGGCCCGACACACGACGACAGUAGGCUCGGAGUUGAGGGGGGUUACUGUGGCAACAGGCCCGCAGUUGACGCACAAGAAACAAAGAUCGCUCCUUCCGCGACUGCUACUGUGGUGCUGAAGAGACGGCUCCACUCCAUUUCAAUGUUUUGGGCAGCUGGAGAGCGGCUGCUGAAUGGCGCACGGCACGGAAAAAUUCCACCAUCCAGCAGCCAACGGGAGAGUAUAAAAGGGGCGAUACUCCGCUCGCAAGGGAGAGGGGGCUCUCAGUGUGUAUGCGCUAACCUUUGCUGUGUGUUUUACAGACAAUCCCGACGCGAGCAAAGACUCCGCCCCCCGACUGCACCCGCGACUUUUCCUGAUGGGAAAACGGGAUCCCCGUUACUCGAGAAACCCCCAGCACGCCCUCAGCAACCCCGCGGCGAUGAAACACUUCACCUCACAUCCCCACUUCGACACACACGCGCACCCACACCUUCUCACGAACCCAUUUUUGAAUAAAGAUUUCUCCACGAGAGACACUGAUAUGGCCUCCUGUGUGUCUGUGCUCUGUCCCCCACUGGCUAAAUUCCCUACACCUGGUAAUGUUGAAACUUAGAGGUGACUUAAAUGUGAUGUGCUAAGAGUAAAAAAAAAAUUAUGCUUCAAUUAUAUAUUAUUACAUAGAGUAUAAAGAUUACAGUCCCCUCCGAAAAUAUCGGAACGGCAAGGGCAAUUCUAUUGUUUUUGCUAGAAAAUAAACACAUUUGGGUUUGAGUUCAAAAGAUGAAUAUGAGAUGAUAGGUCAUUUUGAAUUUCAGAUUUCACUUCCUGGUCUCUGGACUUCAUGUUAAUUUAAUAAUCAUUUUUAACAACAAAUGCAGUCUUCACAGGAAAAACCCCAGGACUCAAGUGAAGAACAGAUAUUCAGAGCUAUUAACUGCUUAUAAACACACACACACACCUUUAAAUCUGAAUUAUCCAUAUCCUAUAUGGGAGAAUUUCAGACUUUGUGAAAUACAAACAAACUAUAUAAACUAUAGUCCUUUAAUUUAUCUAGUUUAACUAUAGUCCUGAAUACUGAAUAAGUAUUGGAACUGCAUGACCAAUGCUUUUGUCUUUGGUAUACACUGAAGACAUUUGGGUGAGAUUAAAAGAUGAAUAUUAGACGAUGGAUUAGAAUUUCAGCUUUCAUUUUUUCUUUCAAGAAAGAAACUACUGGUGUGCUAACAACCAGAUAUCGAACAGGUCUGACAAGGAAAACAACAGCAGCUGAUGACAGAAACACUGACUGUUGUUUUGGCAUUUUCCAUCAGCUGUCAGUGACCUCAUCAACAACCUCCACAAGGCAGGGGUGAAGGUAUCACCAAGAAACUUUGACACCAGAAAUAUACAGGCCAUAGCACAAGAUGCAAACCAAAAUCUCUGGAAAGAAGAAUCUGCUCAUGAGUGAAUAGUCAAGCUCAUCGGUCAAGCAUGGUGGAGGUAGUGUCAUGGCUUGGGCUUGCAUGACUGUUCCGUGAACAGGCUCACUCAUCUUUAUUGAUGAUGAAACUCAUGAUGGUAGCAGCGGAAUGAAUUCAGAAGUCUACUGCCAACACAACAAAGGACUUAAAAUGUGGAAGGUUUUAGACUGCCCAAGCCAAUCACAAAACCCAAUUGAGUAGCAUUUCACUUCCUGAAGAGGAGAUAAACAACAAUGGAAAGAAGCUGCAGUACAAGUCUGGAAAAGCAACAUAAAAAAGAAGAAUGGAACAGUUUGGAGAUGUCACUGGGUCGGCGGCUUGAUGCAGUUAUUGCAAACAAAAAGGGAGAUGCUGUUAUUUACUUUAAAAUCUGUUCUGAUACUUUUGCUAUGGGUGAUCUAGCACCAAAGGAGACAUAUUUAACCCAUCCGACUUGUUUUUUCUUUUACUUUUAAUCAAUGCACUUAUAGUUUUGUAAAUUCGUCCUCUGUAAAGCACUUUGACCUGCCUGUUUUAUAGGAAAAAAUACAUCAAAACAACAGAUGCCUGGAAAUGAUACUGUACUGCUUACCUCUCUGAUGGUUCCACGCAUGGGCCUCUCCGAGUAAGUGUGGCUCAAAAUGGUACACUCCGUUCUGCGUGAAGUACUCAUCAGUACUUAGGACUAUUCCACCUGGGUUUUGUUCCAACAUUUCACUGCAGAGGACAAGAAACACCACAGCGUUGUGGUCACACACGCACACACACACGUGUUUGUCUUACUAACCCGCUUCCACUGACACGUAAUUAUUAAUGCAGCUUAUUAGUGCAAUGUUAUGCCUAAACCUAACCCCAAUCUUAGAGAUAGAAGAAAAGAAAGAAAGGAAGGAAGGAAAGAAGGAAAGGAAGGAAGGGAAAGAAAGAAAGAAGGAAAGAAAGAAAGAAGGAAAGAAAGAAGGAACGGAAGGAAAGAAAGAAGGAAAGGAAGAAGGAAAGGAAGGAAGGAAGAAAGAAGGAAAGGAAGAGGGAAAGGAAGGAAGGAAGAAGGAACUGAAGGAAGGAAAGAAAGAAGGAAAGGAAGGAAGAAAGAAGGAAAAAAGAAAGAUCAAACCUGUCAGAUAUUCCUGUUCUUGUGAGAACACUUGGUCCCCACCAAGAUCUAAAGUUAUAUAAGAUAUAACACCAGGCCAGACAGCCUUUAUCACUUCUCAUUCAUAUUUAAUAUUGUAAAAUAUCACACAUGCAUUGCAUUAUUUUAUUGAUUUUCUAACACAUAAAAUGAUAAUACGUGUAUUUAAUUGCGGGGCAGUGGAGUCUUGGCGGUUAAGGCUCUGUGUUACUGAUCAGAAGGUCGGGGGUUCGAGCCCCAGUGCUGCCAAGCUGCCACUGUUGGGCCCUUGAGCAAGGCCCUUAACCCUCUCUGCUCCAGGGGGCGCUGUAUCAUGGCUGACCCUGCACUCUGACCCCAACUUCCUAACAUGCUGGGGUAUGCAAAGACCAGAAUUUCACUGUGCUGUAAUGUAUACGUCAGCAAUAAAGACUCGUUAUCAUUAAUUGAAAUUAUGCUGAGUGUGUGAGUAUACUUCAUAGAACUGUUACAAGCGCAUGCAGUCCAGUCCAUGUCCAUAUUAUACUGCAUACAAUAAUAAACUGUAAUUCAGGGGUCAGAGUUCACCAAUUUAACGUCUGUGCAACGCAAAAGCAACCAAUACCGAGCAUUAAAGCAUAGAGGUUUACGCCUUUCCACUUUUUACGUGGGUUCAUAUACACCCUGCCAUUAUUUCAUUAUUGCUGUGAUGUCAUUUCCAUAUGAAAAUCUAGCAGAGCUCUUAGAACAGAAAAGGUUGGGGAAGAACAAACGGAGAUUGUACUGUUCCUGUUUUUCUUUCUAAGGAUCAUCCGCCAUUGAAACCUUUAACCUGUAAAUCGUCCACUUUUACGUGUUCUUGACUACUGAUUAGGACGUGGCCGAGUCACAUGCUUUAUUUUUUUAACGUUGUAACGUUUCGCCUGUGCUUGUCUAUUUAUUUAUUUAGCGCUUGUAAAGACAGGUGACAAAUGAAACCUCACGUCGACUCGUUACGCCUCCACCACGACGUGACGUUCUUCAUGAUUAACUUUUUAAUGUCAUCUCAUCAUCUUCUAUGGUGUAUUCACCAGGGAAUGCAUAAGAAAGAAAUGUGUUUUUUCUCCUCAGUUAAAACUCAUUCUUAAAUUCUUGCUUACCUUAUUUUGCUACCACCUGCACCAUCCCGCUUGAAAUACAAGCAACGUUCCUGACUGACGUGUACAAACAAAAGCGCUGUGGCAUAAUUAUACACAUACGUAAUUCUUAAAACAUACAUGGAUGUAAACCAAAAUUACAAUGUUUUUUUGGGUACCUAUAAUGACCCGAUGUUAUCAGUGCACUUCGGUGACCUAGCAAACAAGACAAUAAAACUGUAUAAUAUAGGCAGUGUCCACCUGUCCAUCUGCGCACGUUUAUAUGAAAAACAUCCCAACCCCAUAUUGUGGUAAGAGAAAACACAACAGGGGAAAUCAAACGACGCUGGUUUAGCCAUUUGUGUUACCAAUAAUUGCCUUUAACCUCAAACAUAAUUGAAGCGUUGCUAUUCAAUGUUGUCCUCUCAGAUAAUUAAAAAUACCACAAGCCAUCAUCUACGGAAGCAUGGUUAUGUAUGGUGCUAUGGUUAUGGUAUGAGAUCAUGAAUAAAUGAAUACCUGGCAAGUGUCGUUUUGCCUGAUCCUGGAGCCCCUCUGAGCAGCACCAGUACUUGCCCUUCCAAUUUGAGUCGACUCUGAGGAUAAAGCAUCCAAGACUUGGGAACCGUAGCCGAGGGCUUCAGAGGAGCGUGACUGACAGGCCUGGAAGGCAUCCAUUGAGUCACGGAAAUGGGAUUUGUUGUCCAGGGGUUAGGGACAACAGGUGUGAUAAAAGCUGGUCCAUCCAUGCAGGGCUUGAAAUCUGGAGCUUGGAUAUUCCAGAACGUGUGCACACUUUGAGGACGUGGGAUAUUAACUGACAUUUGCGUCGGAUACUGGUCAGGUCUGCGGUAGGCCUUAAACGCUGAAGGUCUUGGGGCAGCAAAGGUGGAAUCACGUGUCAAGUGACUAAAAUCAAGAGAGAUACCACUCUCCUGGGGAAAAGACACCCCCCCCAAACUGAGCUCGUUUAUUGGUGAAGCAUUUCUUUGACCGCCACCAAUCUUGGCAGUGGAGAAGGAACUCUGCUCACUUAAAGACCCUAAUUUGGUGUCAUUUGGAGUCACAUCUAGCUGAUCAAGCUCCGUCAAAGCUUCUUGAGCUAGAAGGGGACUCGGUGGAGCACCGGCGGAAAGGGGAGCUGACUCGGAAGGUAGAGGCAAGACAGAAGGAGUAAUAGAGGAUGGUAAAGGCUGGCGCAUCGUUAAAGAUUCCAGUUCUUGGUCAAUAAGAGAAUCAAACUCUUCAGUUAGGCGAGUUGUUUCCGGGCUGAGCUCCUGAUGUGAUUCUUCAUAAUUGGACGCUCCUGAUAGGACUGGUCUUUCUGUGGAGGAUUUAGUGUGAGAUGGACGUGGUUCCAGCAGAGCAGCAGCCGUCUCAAACCCCGAAAGUGGAGGAGAGGUUGUGGUCUUCCCCUCAGCAGCACCAGACAACUCUAGGAGUGCAUCCAUGGCAUUUUCCACUGAGAGAGCGAGAGAGACAGUCAGUUUAGGUGUGUAUAAUUACAUCUUUGGAUACAUCAACAUUUAGUUGUUAUAGAGAUAGAUUUGUUUUAGAAGCAUUGUAUCCUGAUAUAUUCAUAAUUAAUGUACGUACAGUGGGGGAAAAAAGUAUUGAACGUUUCAACAUUUCUUUCAGUAAAUAUAUUUCCAAUGAGGCUUUUCACAUGUAAUUUUCACCAGACAUCAGUAUUAACUCAAGAAAUCCGUAAAUAUAAAGAAUUCACAACAAUAAAGUCCAUAAAUAAAGUUAUGUGUAAUAAAGUGGAAUGACACGGGAAAAAAGUAUCGAACACGCUAACUGAAAUUGAUUUAAUACUAAGUAGAGAAGCCUUUGUUUUUUAACGACAGCUUCAAGACGCUUCCUGUGUGAAGAAAUUAAAGGGCCGCGGUUUUCAGGUGUGAUUUUGUCCCAUUCUUCUAAACAUAUUGUCUUUAAAUCUUGUUCAAUUAGAUUCAAGUCAGAUGAUUGACCAGUCCAAGUGUCAUUCCACUUUAUUACACAAAACUUUAUUUACGGACUUCAACGUUGUGAAUUCUUCAUAUCUGCGGAGUUCUUGAGCGAAAAUUUCAUGUGAAUAACCUGAUUGGAAAAUAUAUUUACUGAAAACAAAUCUUGACGCGUCCAAUACUUAUUUCCCCCACGGUACGUACAGUGAAAUCCAUAAAUAUUUAUACACUGACAAAUAUACCGGAGUUGAAAAUUAUAUCAUGUAUAUAAGCUCAAAAAAAAAGGGAUUCUUAUGUCAUCUACGAACAGUUUUCUCUGGUCUCCAGGACGUUAGGUGUUCCUGAACUCGCCAGUCCCUCGAACAGCUGAGCAGCCAAAUGUCUGAUUACUUUUGAUCCCUUUAUAAAGGGGUGGGUGCGAGCACUUAUGAAAAGUAUAGCAAUUCCUACACUGUUCGCCCAAAUUUGGGUUUAAAUAUCCUCAAAUUAGUGCUGAAAGUACAUUCAAGUCCACACUCUGGUAGUAGAAAUAGUAGUCAGAUAAAAUAACAAUAACUUUUUCAAUAUCCAGUUAUUUGUAGACCUGCCUGUAUGUUACACCCAAGAAAAGUAGUAUGAAAAAUAACCUGCCUAUUAAAAAAAUAUUGAAAAAUAAAUAAAUAAACCAAAACCUUGUCCAAACCAUUAUAGAGUGCUGUCUUUACUAGUCCUGGAUCAGGGUCACGUGAUUAAACAUGCGGGAUAUGUACUAAUCUGGAUGUAAAGCUGAAGUAUCUACUCCAUAUACAGGUGUAAAAUCUUUAUUUUAUUUUAUUUUUUUUUAAAUAACGUCACCAGGAUCACUUUCAGUUUUAAAUCUCUGAGCAGUCCUGGGAUCUGCGCCACAGCCAGCAGAUCCAAAAUCCAGUCUGUUGUUGAAAAGUUGCUGGGGCGGUUGGGUGAACUACCUUCACUCCACACACAUGGCCUGACCUACCUUUAAAAUCCGCCUCGGAAAGCACUAUGAAAAUGACAUCAGGGUCCAAGUCAGAAAACAUAUCGUGCAUGCUCUUCACGAUUUCGUCCUUGUUCUGCAAACUCAAAUCGGACAUAGUAGAUCCCGAGAGAUCACGCGUUACAGAAGCAGAUCCGUUCGGCCCAGGAUUAUAAUAAUAAUGAGCGCUGACAUGUUCUCCUGACUGGCCUGCUACUGCACCGGGCCCGGUUUUCUUUUUCUUAGGCAUUCUGCCAGACCAGCCACUGUUUACAAGUUUGUAGCCACACGGACCGAGCGAACAUUAGCAUUUGGACCAAGUAACAACGACGUGUUUUUUACGGAAAGGAAAUGUAACAGCACUACUAGCGGUCAGAUUGGGAAUAACAUUUCUGGAGCUGAAGUGGGAAGAUUCAACCCGUCCGCUUCAAAUGAUUACUCUUCGAGGCCAGUAGAGGACCGUGUGGAAAAUUCGCGUUAGCGGUACAGCGGUAUGGAGUUCCCGCAACACCAGAAGCCGCCGGGGGACGGCAAGAUCAUUUACCCGCCCGGAGUGAAGGAGAUCACGGACAAAAUCAGCAACGAUGAAGUGGUGAAACGGUUAAAGGUAAGAACGUUGUCAUGCUCCUCGUCUUGUCAAAUCUGUAUUGGAGUGAGUUUCGCGUGCACAAGAACUCACAAACUGGACCUGUUUAUCAUCAAGGGAUCUGCAGGUGAGGCAAGGAUCCAGUCCAGGCAUCUGGAUCCUGAAGUGUAAACAAACAUCUGGCCAUUCAGAAAGACUGCUCCUGAUGUGUUGUCUUUGCUUCUUUACAUUUACGGCAUUUAGCAGACACCGUUAUCCAGAGUGACUUAUCUUAUAUCUUUAUACAUCUGAGCAAAUGACGGUUAAGGGCCUUGCUCAAGGGCCCAACAAUGACAGCUUGGUGGUGCUGGGGUUUGAACCCCCGAUCAGUAACCCAAUAUUAUUGUUUUUAUGAACUUAAUAAGACAGUGGGGGGGGUACUGAGCGUCACGUUGUCGUUGAGAAACCCGGAAAGCUGAACGUCCACCGUUUUUGAUUUUUCCCUCUUGAAGGAAAAUUGACCAACUGUCACAAAGCACUGAGCCUGGAGACUCCUUCCAUAAGCGUUUCAUAAAGAUUUUAUAAAAUCUCACAGCAAACAGAAAACUUCGCCAUCCAAAUGUCAAGAUUGUAAAGUUUUUGAAAUUCGUUUAUCAUCAGUCGUAUCUGUAGCGUCCACUGUGCGAGGCCUCGUGUAAAUCGCUCCUAUAGAAAGGAGCGUUCGUGUAUUAGGAGUAUUAAGACAAGGGCUUUAAUGCAAAAUGUUUGAAUGACAGAAAAACGAUUAACACUUUCUGACUGAGCAGAGCGCAUCGCCGAUGUAGCGUGAUAAAGCAAUAUCUCACGAGCAAAAGAGUCAAACUAAGUCAAUAUCUUGGGGAAUAACGCCAUGAAAACUGGGGCACUGAACUGCACACCGCGUCUGGUGCGAGGAGGAGAUUCCUGACGCAGACAUUCGCUCUGCUUCUGUCCUCGCGUCUGCUCGAGGCCUGUCAAAUCAUCAUCUGAACUUUGAAUAUUCGUCAAGUCAAACGGCGCUCUAAAACACAGACACUGACUGACUAAAGCGUAAAGAAUUCACAAUACUGGAUUACAAUAGCGUCUUAUUGUAAUGUUAUUAUUUCAGAUCACAUGUUUUUGUUCAUGCAUGUUUAAGUUAAUAUUUAAAACGGGUGAGUAUUUGGUUUAAUUUUUGCCUUUUCUCGUCAACUAAAAUGCCGUCGAUUCACGUUCACCACCGUUGUAGUGAGUAAAAUGGAUAAAUAUGACCUGACGAAAACGUCCUUUAAAUUUAGUCGCUAUUUCGUCAGAAAGACAAAAGAUAUGCUGUGUUAUCAGUGGCAUAAAAUUGUUUCAAAGUGACGAGGAUAUUGUUUGAGUAUUAUUUCUGGGACAGUAUAUCGUCCAAUAAAAUGUUCUCGUGACAGGCCUAAGUAACAGCUCAGUCACAGGGACUUCAGUGAUGGACUGUCCACAUAAUCUAAAACUAGUAAUAAACAGAUUUUUUUUUUUUUUAAACGUGGUGUUUAAUAAAGUAAAAUGUAAAAUCGUGACUUUUACUAGAGGUCGACCGAUAUUGGAUACCCAUAACGAAGUUGUUCAGUACCUACCUACUGAUAACCGAUGCUGAAUGAAAACAUAACACUCAAACUAAAACAUUGAACUUUAUUACAAAAGUAAACAGUGCUGACUGGACCAUGAAAAUGUACACUACUUUUAAAAUGAAA